GACGAACGCUGGCGGCGUGCCUAACACAUGCAAGUCGAGCGAUGAAACCCUUCGGGGUGGAUUAGCGGCGGACGGGUGAGUAACACGUGGGUAACCUGCCUCAAAGAGGGGGAUAGCCUCCCGAAAGGGAGAUUAAUACCGCAUAACAUUAGUUUUUCGCAUGAAGGACUAAUUAAAGGAGUAAUCCGCUUUGAGAUGGACCCGCGGCGCAUUAGCUAGUUGGUGAGGUAAAGGCUCACCAAGGCGACGAUGCGUAGCCGACCUGAGAGGGUGAUCGGCCACAUUGGAACUGAGAUACGGUCCAGACUCCUACGGGAGGCAGCAGUGGGGAAUAUUGCACAAUGGGCGAAAGCCUGAUGCAGCAACGCCGCGUGAGUGAUGAAGGCCUUCGGGUUGUAAAGCUCUGUCUUUGGGGACGAUAAUGACGGUACCCAAGGAGGAAGCCACGGCUAACUACGUGCCAGCAGCCGCGGUAAUACGUAGGUGGCAAGCGUUGUCCGGAUUUACUGGGCGUAAAGGAUGCGUAGGCGGAUAUUUAAGUGAGAUGUGAAAUUCCCGGGCUUAACUUGGGAGCUGCAUUUCAAACUGGAUAUCUAGAGUGUGGGAGAGGAGAAUGGAAUUCCUAGUGUAGCGGUGAAAUGCGUAGAGAUUAGGAAGAACACCAGUGGCGAAGGCGAUUCUCUGGACCAUAACUGACGCUGAGGCAUGAAAGCGUGGGUAGCAAACAGGAUUAGAUACCCUGGUAGUCCACGCCGUAAACGAUGAGUACUAGGUGUAGGGGGGUCCAACCCUCUGUGCCGCAGUUAACACAAUAAGUACUCCGCCUGGGAAGUACGAUCGCAAGAUUG
RNAcentral lists this ribosomal RNA (848 nucleotides) under uncultured bacterium. RNAcentral's name for it is "bacterial SSU rRNA". It matches the Rfam family "Bacterial small subunit ribosomal RNA", at positions 28 to 896 of the family's 1533-position model. The record is from RNAcentral.